CCUACGGGAGGCUGCAGUGAGGAAUAUUGGUCAAUGGACGAGAGUCUGAACCAGCCAAGUAGCGUGAAGGAUGACUGCCCUAUGGGUUGUAAACUUCUUUUAUAUGGGAAUAAAAUGUUCCACGUGUGGGAUUUUGUAUGUACCAUAUGAAUAAGGAUCGGCUAAUUCCGGGCCAGCAGCCGCGGUAAUACGGAGGAUCCGAGCGUUAUCCGGAUUUAUUGGGUUUAAAGGGAGCGUAGGUGGAUUGUUAAGUCAGUUGUGAAAGUUUGCGGCUCAACCGUAAAAUUGCAGUUGAAACUGGCAGUCUUGAGUACAGUAGAGGUGGGCGGAAUUCGUGGUGUAGCGGUGAAAUGCUUAGAGAUCACGAAGAACUCCGAUUGCGAAGGCAGUUCACUGGACUGCAACUGACACUGAGGCUCGAAAGUGUGGGUAUCAAACAGGAUUAGAUACCCGGGUAGUC
Molecule: ribosomal RNA, 460 nt
Filed under: uncultured bacterium
Lineage: Bacteria
Description: partial 16S ribosomal RNA
Rfam family: Bacterial small subunit ribosomal RNA
Source: RNAcentral